Molecule: long non-coding RNA, 527 nt
Filed under: Triticum aestivum (bread wheat)
Lineage: Eukaryota; Viridiplantae; Streptophyta; Magnoliopsida; Poales; Poaceae
Description: long non-coding RNA (TAES_LNC008421)
Source: RNAcentral
UUGGAUUAGGAAACAAUGUUGCUGAGGUAAUAUUAGAAAUUCAUGAAUCAAUCUCUUAGUAAUCAAUACAUGAUAUUGUUACCAGUGUGAAUGAUCUUUGGGCUUAAAAGAUCAUCUUCUGCAACAUUUUCGCCAGACGUUGCAUCACUUCAUGAGGAGCCUAUGAUAUAGCAGAUGAAUAAUCUCCUUGUCUUCUAACUUUCUAAGGAUAAACACACCGCCUAAUUGGUGCGUUCGAACUAGAAGGCAAUACUAGUCACCAGAUCUGAUAAUUUUGUUGCAAAAAUAGUUUAAUCUCUAUGUAUGCUCAGACCUGUUAAAUGUUAGUCCUUCAGGCCCGGAUUUGGGGACCCCAUCUCUAUGCUCAAAACUGUUAAAUGUGAACUCCUAUAAUUAUUAUUCUUUUAUCCUUAGUUUGCAGUUUUAAUUAGGAGAUGAACAGUUGACAAAAUUGUAUAAACAAGUUACAGAACUGGAUGAUGCAUGUGUGUACAUUGGAAAUUCAACUCAAGAUGUUCUUGAAAUUA